This 974-nucleotide long non-coding RNA is filed under the name Olea europaea (common olive). RNAcentral's name for it is "long non-coding RNA (OEUR_LNC014739)". Lineage: Eukaryota; Viridiplantae; Streptophyta; Magnoliopsida; Lamiales; Oleaceae. The record is from RNAcentral.
GGUAAUGAUCUUAUAAGUUGGCAAAUCUUGUUAGAUUGUUUCUACCAUAAUUCAUUCCCCUUUGGGUAUGCAGAACAUAUUCAAGCAAUAGUUUUAUCGUAGAGUGAAGUUCAUUUGUUAGUUUGUAACUUUAGAAACUUAUAAUAAGAUCCACUUGGUGGGAGUAAGAAGGCAAGAACGAGAGAACAAAAUUUAAGUUUGUUAAUGGAAAUUGCAAUAAAGUGACAAGUUAAGUUCCUUAUUUAAGAUGUUGCACAUAAUGGAGUCUGACAAACGAUGAAUAUCUUAACAUAAUCAUAGAAUAUAAGAAAAUACAAAAUGUAUGCAUAUUUUUACAGUUUCCAUGUAAUAAACAGGUGAAUGUACAACUAGUGGAAUUUAGAAAAUGCAGCCAUAAAAACAGCUGAGAGUUUACUUACAUUUCAUGUUGAUGCUUAAGCUUCCAGAACACUGCAUAACUCCACUGAGAAUUGCAGCAGAGUCUUUGAAGGAACGACCUCAGGGAAUUAAUCCCCAUAAAUUAAACUAUUAUGAAAAAAACAAAUAUCCAGUAGAUAAAAUAAGUAACCAGUUAUCGAGUAAACAUUCACUAACUGCCCCGAUAUGAUCCGCGUCCUGCUUGUACUAUCCAUAGACCAGCUCUUCGCUUCAUUGGUGGUUCCAUUGGGUUUAAUAACAAUAAAUCCAACAUUUUACGCCUUUCUUCAACUAUCGCUGGCAAUUUGAUGUUACUGGGUAUAAAAGAUUAUUAGAGAUGGAGGAAAUUAAUGAAAGAACACACUGAAGACCUCUUAGCCAUUACUUAUAACCAAUAGAGGAGGGGAUUGCGAGUCAAAGUAUUGAGUGGGUGAUCAAAUCUGGAUUGAAGCUACAAACUGAAUCAAGGUUAAAUCACCAACAGUUCCUUUUGUAAAAUAGAUUAGAAGUGCUGAAGUUGGAAAGGACAGUAGCACCGUCAAAGUAUUGANNNNNNN